This 401-nucleotide ribosomal RNA is filed under the name uncultured bacterium. Its description in RNAcentral is "bacterial SSU rRNA". It matches the Rfam family "Bacterial small subunit ribosomal RNA", at positions 355 to 773 of the family's 1533-position model. The record is from RNAcentral.
UGGGGAAUCUUGCACAAUGGGGGCAACCCUGAUGCAGCGACGCCGCGUGAGCGAUGAAGCCCUUCGGGGCGUAAAGCUCUUUCGACCGGAACGAUAAUGACGGUACCGGGAGAAGAAGCUGCGGCUAACUACGUGCCAGCAGCCGCGGUAAUACGUAGGCAGCAAGCGUUGUUCGGAGUUACUGGGCGUAAAGAGUGCGUAGGCGGUUUUCUAAGUUCGGUGUGAAAUCUCCCGGCUUAACUGGGAGGGUGCGCCGAAGACUGGGAAGCUGGAGUGUGGGAAAGGCAGGCGGAAUUCCUGGUGUAGCGGAGAAAUGCGUAGAUAUCAGGAGGAACACCGGCGGUGUAGACGGCUUGCUAGACCAUAACUGACGCUGAGGCACGAAAGCGUGGGUAGCAAAC